This 253-nucleotide ribosomal RNA is filed under the name uncultured bacterium. Its description in RNAcentral is "partial 16S ribosomal RNA". It matches the Rfam family "Bacterial small subunit ribosomal RNA", at positions 524 to 776 of the family's 1533-position model. The record is from RNAcentral.
UACGGAGGGUGCAAGCGUUAUCCGGAUUCACUGGGUUUAAAGGGUGCGUAGGCGGGCAGGUAAGUCAGUGGUGAAAUCUCCGAGCUUAACUCGGAAACUGCCGUUGAUACUACUUGUCUUGAAUAUUGUGGAGGUAAGCGGAAUAUGUCAUGUAGCGGUGAAAUGCUUAGAUAUGACAUAGAACACCAAUUGCGAAGGCAGCUUACUACAGGAAUAUUGACACUGAUGCACGAAAGCGUGGGGAUCAAACAGG